Molecule: non-coding RNA, 27 nt
Filed under: Homo sapiens (human)
Lineage: Eukaryota; Metazoa; Chordata; Mammalia; Primates; Hominidae
Source: RNAcentral
CGAGACCAACAUGGCCAGAACUGUCUA